AACGUAGGGGGCCAGCGUUGCUCGGAAUUACUGGGCGUAAAGGGUCCGUAGGCGGUGUGGCAAGUCGGAAGUGAAAUCUCUGGGCUUAACUCAGAGGCUGCUUCCGAAACUGCUGUGCUAGAGGAUGAGAGAGGCGAGUGGAAUUGCGGGUGUAGCGGUGAAAUGCGUAGAUAUCCGCAGGAACAUCCGAGGCGAAAGCGGCUCGCUGGAUCAUUUCUGACGCUGAGGGACGAAAGCUAGGGGAGCAAACAGG
Molecule: ribosomal RNA, 253 nt
Filed under: uncultured bacterium
Lineage: Bacteria
Description: partial 16S ribosomal RNA
Rfam family: Bacterial small subunit ribosomal RNA
Source: RNAcentral